Regulatory RNA element from Firmicutes bacterium CAG:124, 89 nucleotides. It matches the Rfam family "Glycine riboswitch aptamer". Rfam says of the family: This family represents the bacterial glycine riboswitch. Glycine riboswitches usually consist of two metabolite-binding aptamers domains with similar structures in tandem. The aptamers cooperatively bind glycine to regulate the expression of downstream genes. Lineage: Bacteria; Bacillati; Bacillota. The record is from Rfam.
GAAGGAAUCUCUGGAGAACUCAUUGAAUUGAGUGCCGAAGGUGCAAGGCGCAAGCCGAAUCUCUCAGGCAAAAGGACAGAGCCGCAGCU